RNAcentral lists this long non-coding RNA (1929 nucleotides) under Eucalyptus grandis. RNAcentral's name for it is "long non-coding RNA (EGRA_LNC004852)". The record is from RNAcentral. Lineage: Eukaryota; Viridiplantae; Streptophyta; Magnoliopsida; Myrtales; Myrtaceae.
CGUCCACCAGGGACCUGAAAUGGUUAUUCAAUAACCACUGAGACAACGUCUCAGCAAGUUCAACCCCCUAAACCCCUAUUAGAAAGAAAAUACGCCCCGGGUGGCAUAGCCACAUCACACAGAAGACUUACCUCGCCUCAGCCUUUAUCUGCAGGUUAGCACAAUUUAUAUAAACUAACCACGUGCAAUUAUGAUAGCCAAACAACUGCAGCACAAUCACAUCAUCAGAACAAUUCAACCACUUGGAUCGUCUCAGCGAUCAAUCGACUUGGCCGAUUACAUGUCAAUUCUAGUGAAUCAAUUACUACUUCCAAUCUCGACCCUAUAGGAAGGCUUAAUAACCAGUGGCAAUCACGGCCCCACUCGGCACGACCUUUAAUUAGGUGGUCCAUCACGGCCUGGAUCGUCUCAGCGAUCAAUCGACUUGGCCGAUUACAUGUCAAUUCUAGUGAAUCAAUUACUACUUCCAAUCUCGACCCUAUAGGCACGACCUCUAAUAGGUGGUUAAUCACGACCAAUCUCCCAUCAAUUUCUACACUUAGGAUAUCGUAAAGAAUCGGGCACGACCUUUCAUAGGUGGUCCAUCCCGGCCUCACUGGGCACGACCUCCAAUCGGUGGUUAAUCACGGCCUCACUAGGCACGACCUCUAAUAGGUGGUUAAUCACGACCAAUCUCCCAUCAAUUUCUACACUUAGGAUAUCGUAAAGAAUCCCUAUAAAUCACAAUCACACUCAAUUCAUCACAACCAAUCAUCAAUUUCAAAUUCUAAAUGAACAGCAACGAUCGGCACGAAAUUCUGAGCAAAUAAGGUCCCAAUGAAGAUUUUCGGAAUUUAAUAAAUAAUUAAAUUUAUUCCGAAAAUAAUUAAAUAAUAAUAUCCAUAGUUUUCGAAAUCCACACUCAAUUUAUAAUAUCCAAUCAUCAAUUUCAAAAUCCGACUACACAGUAACGACCGGCACGAAAUUCUGAGAAUUUAAGGUCUCGGCAAAAUUUUCGGAAUUUAAUAAAUAAUUUAAUUUAUUCCGAAAAUAAUUAAAUAAUAAUAUUUUAAAAUUUUCGAAUAUUAAAAUAUUAUUCAAUUAUUCAAUAAUUUCGAGAUAUUUAAAUAAAUCAAAAGUAGAUUCCUUUAUGUCACAUCAAAGUUUAUAUUAAUAUAAACACCCAUUUAACUUUAAAUUAAACACAAUUUAAGCUAAUUAAACACAUUAAUGUAAUCCACACUUAAAUAAAUCAAACUAACCACCUAAUCACACUUAACAUAAACUAAGCACACCUAAAGCAUAAUUAACCUUCUAAGCGAAGUUUAGCGAGCUAAACUCACCGGAUUAGCGAGCCGAGCGAACCAAAACGACGAGGACGACGCGAGGAUCGACUUUCCUCAAAGCGGGCCGAGCAUCCGAGCUCGGGAAGGCGGCCAAAACGGGCCAAACACCCGCUGCCAUACCCAUUUUUCCAGAUUCUGCUAGCUGCUGGUUGGGGGCGAAGGAGGGCAGAUCCGGGGCCGGCUUAGGUCGAGAACGGGCGGAUGAGCUGCGGCGGUGCUGCACGGCCAACAGCGGGGCCUCACGGUGGCCGGAGGUGGCUGAACCGUGGCCUGGGUUGGCCUGCGAAGCUGCUGGAGACGAGGGCGAGCAAGGACGAUGGCGUGAGGGAAGGCGGAGGCGCGCGGCAGCAACGGCGCGCAAGGACGGCGAGCGGCGGUUGAGCGCGACUACUCCGGCGGUGCUGCUAGCCUCGCUGUCUUCGGCUUGCAGAUUUGCUGGGGACGUCGAGCACGAGCAGGAGAGACGGAGGCGGUGCGACGACGAGCGGGCACGGCGACGGGCGGCGGCAGCGAACGGCGGAGGCGAGCGGCCGAGCGAGCGGCGAAGGGGCGGCCGUCGAGCGGUCGGCUUGGCUGGUUCCGUUCGCACAUCCUUCCCCCCCUC